GGGCUGCGUUAUGAUUGGGUUGGGGGUAUUGGGCCUGAUGUUGGGUAGUGGGUUAAUUGGGUUUGGUGGGUAGGACCAGGUUAGGGUCUGUAACCGGGUUUAGUGACUGGGCUUCAACCCGGAUUUAGCCCAUUGUAAUUGGACUAUUUACUGGACUUUAAAUUUUGUUUUGUUUUGUUUUGUUUUUGGUUUUUUAUUUUACUAACGGGCCGGGCAAAUUGGGCUUACUACAGGCUUAAUAAAACGGUUAAGCACGAAAAUAGUUUGGGCAUUAUAUUGUCCCCAAUACUCUCCCCAAUUUUGAAUAAUCUCACCACCU
RNAcentral lists this long non-coding RNA (319 nucleotides) under Gossypium raimondii (Peruvian cotton). RNAcentral describes it as "long non-coding RNA (GRAI_LNC006236)". The record is from RNAcentral. Lineage: Eukaryota; Viridiplantae; Streptophyta; Magnoliopsida; Malvales; Malvaceae.